Ictalurus punctatus (channel catfish) is the source of this 419-nucleotide long non-coding RNA. The record is from Ensembl. NCBI's taxonomy places the organism in Eukaryota, Metazoa, Chordata, Actinopteri, Siluriformes, Ictaluridae.
AUGAAGUCUCUUUUAAAUUUGACUGCAUCGUGUCGCCUAACGAUGACCUCCUUCACCUGCAUCAACACGUCUUUGGACCGAAUAUUAAGAUUUCUCAUGAACAGAUACCGAAUGCAAAUUCAACACUUGGAAUCGACUCAAGACUUUUUAUCUCCUUAAUUUGUCAUGAAAUAACGAGGAAACAGGUCACACCUGGCCAUGAAACUGCUUACCAGUCAAUUGUCCCAUUACUUUUGAACCGUGUAAAUGGAGGGACUCUGUAAAAAAAAAAAAAAGGCUGUAAUUCCUAAACGGUUAAAAUGCUAUGUCAUGUAGAUGUGUUAUGUUGUAUUUUACACCUAAAAUGUUAAUGAAGCACAUUACAUAUUAAAAGAAUUUUGAAUGCAGCAGUAAUGUUUUUAACCUUAAUUACUUAUAAA